Molecule: long non-coding RNA, 527 nt
Organism: Poecilia latipinna (sailfin molly)
Lineage: Eukaryota; Metazoa; Chordata; Actinopteri; Cyprinodontiformes; Poeciliidae
Exons: 4
Source: RefSeq, a predicted model, not a curated record
GUUAGAACCUGGACCUGCUGCUCAUCAGCUGAAAGUCACAUAAUUAAAUUAAGAAGUGACGAGGAACUGAGAGAGUCUGAAGGCAGCUCUGCUGGAGAAGAUGCUGACAGUCAACAUGUUACUGAGCGUCUUCUUCCAUCCAGGUGAUUAUUGUCCCGUUCCAGCGCUCAUUGUUAUCGUACCUGGGCAGAUCGAAGCACUGAGUGGAUCUUGUUUGCAAGUCCCAUGUAGCUUCAACUCCACAUCUAACCUUACACAAGCAACCUAUGCACUUUGGAAAUCUAAACAAAAAACUAUUUUCAACAGCAGAGAGUCAGUUAACUUAUAUCCACUGAAAAUUAUUGGAAACCUGGGUGAGAAAAACUGCACCACUCUGUUUCCUGAUUUAAACUCCAGUUAUACAGGAGAUUAUGUUCUCCGAAUUGAGAACAGGCCAUUCAAGGCAACAGCUUUUUGUCAUCCUCUUCAGAUAAGAGUAAGAGACUCUCAGUGGAGUCCCAGCCUUAACAUCUCUGGUGAUCUGGAGG